AGUGUUUUCAUCCAAGAUCAUCACCCUAUUAAUUAGAAACACAUAUAAGAUGGACCUUAUGGCUUGGAUUUGUUGUACCAUUGACUUUAUGGAAUGGACUUUUUAUCAGCCAAAAUUGGCCUGUAAAAAUGUUACAUGCCAUAUAAUUUAUCUGUGUAUUCGUAUGUUCAUUUUUAGAUUGCUAUAUAGUGAUUUUAACAAAUGCUUUUGAUGACAAAAUUAGAAACCCUUUUUGCUAUGGAGGAUUGAGCAAAUGGAAGACAAC
This 265-nucleotide long non-coding RNA is filed under the name Elaeis guineensis (African oil palm). RNAcentral describes it as "long non-coding RNA (EGUI_LNC011186)". The record is from RNAcentral. Lineage: Eukaryota; Viridiplantae; Streptophyta; Magnoliopsida; Arecales; Arecaceae.